This 253-nucleotide ribosomal RNA is filed under the name uncultured bacterium. RNAcentral's name for it is "partial 16S ribosomal RNA". It matches the Rfam family "Bacterial small subunit ribosomal RNA", at positions 524 to 776 of the family's 1533-position model. The record is from RNAcentral.
UACGGGGGGGGCAAGCGUUGUUCGGAAUUAUUGGGCGUAAAGAGCUCGUAGGCGGUUAGUCGCGUCUGCUGUGAAAACUCGGGGCUUAACUCCGGGCCUGCAGUGGGUACGGGCUGACUAGAGUGCGGUAGGGGAGACUGGAAUUCCUGGUGUAGCGGUGAAAUGCGCAGAUAUCAGGAGGAACACCGGUGGCGAAGGCGGGUCUCUGGGCCGUAACUGACGCUGAGGAGCGAAAGCGUGGGGAGCGAACAGG